UGCCCAGCAACUCCUAUCCCUACCUCCUCGUGGUACUGGCCGGGGUACGAGUAACCUUGGGAAAGAUCGGGUAACCAACCCCCGGUGGGAACUUUGGUCGUAUGCUGACAGGGAAGG
Molecule: non-coding RNA, 117 nt
Organism: Aedes aegypti (yellow fever mosquito)
Lineage: Eukaryota; Metazoa; Arthropoda; Insecta; Diptera; Culicidae
Source: Rfam